CCUACGGGAGGCAGCAGUGAGGAAUAUUGGUCAAUGGACGCAAGACUGAACCAGCCAAGUAGCGUGCAGGAUGACGGCCCUAUGGGUUGUACACUGCUUUUAUGCGGGGAUAAAAUGAGUCACGUGUGCCUUAUUGCAGGUACCGCAUGAAUAAGGACCGGCUAAUUCCGUGCCAGCAGCCGCGGUAAUACGGAAGGUCCGGGCGUUAUCCGGAUUGAUUGGGGUUAAAGGGUGCGUAGGCCGCCCGUUAAGCGUGUCGUGAAAUGCCGGGGCUCAACCGUCGCACUGCGGCGGGAACUGGGUGGCUUGAGUGCGCGGGAGGUAUGCGGAAUUCGUGGUGUAGCGGUGAAAUGCUUAGAUAUCACGCAGAACUCCGAUUGCGAAGGCAGCAUAC
RNAcentral lists this ribosomal RNA (394 nucleotides) under uncultured bacterium. RNAcentral describes it as "partial 16S ribosomal RNA". It matches the Rfam family "Bacterial small subunit ribosomal RNA", at positions 338 to 729 of the family's 1533-position model. The record is from RNAcentral.